AGAGUUUGAUCAUGGCUCAGGAUGAACGCUAGCUACAGGCUUAACACAUGCAAGUCGAGGGGAAACGACAUCGAAAGCUUGCUUUUGAUGGGCGUCGACCGGCGCACGGGUGAGUAACGCGUAUCCAACCUGCCCACCACUUGGGGAUAACCUUGCGAAAGUAAGACUAAUACCCAAUGACGUCUCUAGAAGACAUCUGAAAGAGAUUAAAGAUUUAUUGGUGAUGGAUGGGGAUGCGUCUGAUUAGCUUGUUGGCGGGGUAACGGCCACCAAGGCGACGAUCAGUAGGGGUUCUGAGAGGAAGGUCCCCCACAUUGGAACUGAGACACGGUCCAAACUCCUACGGGAGUCA
Molecule: ribosomal RNA, 352 nt
Filed under: uncultured bacterium
Lineage: Bacteria
Description: bacterial SSU rRNA
Rfam family: Bacterial small subunit ribosomal RNA
Source: RNAcentral